Molecule: ribosomal RNA, 253 nt
Filed under: uncultured bacterium
Lineage: Bacteria
Description: partial 16S ribosomal RNA
Rfam family: Bacterial small subunit ribosomal RNA
Source: RNAcentral
UACAGAGGUCUCAAGCGUUGUUCGGAUUCAUUGGGCGUAAAGGGUGCGUAGGCGGCGCGGUAAGUCGGGUGUGAAAUCUCAGGGCUCAACCCUGAAACUGCAUUCGAUACUGCGUGGCUAGAGUGCUGGAGAGGAGACUGGAAUUUACGGUGUAGCAGUGAAAUGCGUAGAUAUCGUAAGGAAGACCAGUGGCGAAGGCGAGUCUCUGGACAGCAACUGACGCUGAGGCACGAAGGCCAGGGGAGCAAACGGG